GGCACACUCUGAUUUAUUUUAUACAGUUGUUUGUGGAAUGUUGCCAAGUCACAAGACACAUGUUGUUUUUCUGACCUUUCCCUGACUUUCUGGUUUUUCAAGAUGUUUACACAUUAACCAGUCCCCAGGGUCUGCUGUUUGCAGCUGGCUCCUUUGUCCUUCCUGUUUGCAGGGAAGGAGCAUCCUGCUUUGUUUGCAAGAGCAGGACUUAUCGGGAACAUCUCGUUUGCGAGCACCUAGUCCUCUACAUUUCCCCUUUCUUUAUUUACAAGUUUGAAUUUCUUUCAAAACCAUCAUCACAUGUUCAGCUCACUCGGAUUCGGUGUUUGCCCUUUGGCACCGUCUCCAGCAGACUAUGAAAAUGACAAAGGCAAGAACAACAAUCAAUACAUUACUAGAAACAGAAGUCAGUAAAGUUUUUACAGGGCUCAUAGGGUUUAAAGACAUCAAGCUUUGUGCAAUACCAGUCAUCAAAUCUGCUCCAGUCAGCAAUGGUAACUGAUUGCGAAAUGUUUCAGAAAUGUUUUGUGUUAAUUCUUGUAUUUCUAAGGAAAGAUUAUUAUGGCCAAUUAAAAGUCUCUUUGUCUCAGUCCAAUUAUGUACAGUGCUGUUAAAAGGAACAGGAGUAAUACAAAAUUGGGUAGUAUUCCAAUCACAUUUUAACAAAGCUCAAGUAUUCAACACUGUUAGCUGAUCUCCUAACCAAGAAACCACUUGCUCCAGAUUAUCCACUCGUUCAGUCAGAUGAGCAUCUAUGUCUCGUUGCUGCUGCCACAACAAAUGUGAUUGUUCAUGCCAUUGUUGUACAAAUUCUGCAUUUUGUAUACUCUGAUGUAGAGUUAAGCCAGCAACAGCAGCAGUGGAAGCAACUGCUACAAGUCCCACCACCGCUGUUACGACGAUCCCAACUACUCUCCGGCUGCGGUGGACAAGAUCUUGUAUUACUUUAUAAAGUUGAGUGACCCCAGCGGAUUCACUCCAGGAGCGUGUUAAGUUCACAGGCAGCCAGGUUUUUUUCCUGGCUUUCAAAAUAUAUAAAUCCGAAUGAGACUCAUUCCAAUUAUUAUUCCACCAAGUAGUAUUUAUACAACUUAAGAAUGUACAAUUGCCGGUACAGUUAACUACCCCUGUAUUAUUAUCCCAUUUAAAGAUUUCUGUUAAUAACAAAUAAGGUUUCUUUACACAUGCAACACAUAUCUAGAGCUAUUUCGAUGUAAAGAUAUAUGAAAAGGAUUAGAAAUGUUAGUAGUAAUAUUCAAGGACUUGUUUCCUGUGAAAGUGAACAUUGGUUUACCAGCAGCUAGCAACUUCCAAAUAUGACUUUGUAUUUGUGAGGUGUUCGCCAAAUGCGGCAUAGGGGGCGACAAGCCACCAUCAUGACAAAUAAUAGUUUCAUUGCCAUCUGCAGCAAUGCUGUGAUUACCCUUAUGCCAGCGCAGGUUGACAUGGCUGAAUUUAGUUUGAAAAUCUCCAUGCACACUCCAAUCUGUAACAAGGUAUUUACAACUUUUCCCUUUUACUUCUAACAACAAUCACAGCCCACUACCUCUACAUCUAGUCCACUCUAGUUGGGAAACACCUCCGGACACAUCAGGGAUAGGGCAUAAAGAUAAUGUAGUUGGCAAAGUUUCAUUAAGUAAUGCAGUAUGAUUAUACUUAAAACUUUGAGCAACAAUAAUCAUAGUAAAGGCAGCAAUGUGACUAUGGUUAUAGCGAACAGCCCAAGCCUCAUGAGAAGGAUGCAGACAAUGUGGACUACUCCCAAGACAUAUAGGUAACCCUUCAACCCCAAAUUGAUAUGAACUAUUUACUAUGCCAGUGUCUAAUUCAGGAACUUGGUUCAAAAAAGGUGAUGGCAUCCAAGCAGUAUCAUUAGUAAAUACUGGGACCUCUUUGUCUCCCCAUGCCACACCUUGACAUAAGGGUGGAAAAGGAAUAUAAGCCCAAUAGGUAAAUUCUCCAGCUGUUACCUGG
RNAcentral lists this long non-coding RNA (1974 nucleotides) under Macaca fascicularis (crab-eating macaque). Its description in RNAcentral is "lncRNA (ENSMFAG00000053820.1)". Lineage: Eukaryota; Metazoa; Chordata; Mammalia; Primates; Cercopithecidae. The record is from RNAcentral.